CGGACGGGUGAGUAACACGUGGAUAACCUACCUAUAAGACUGGGAUAACUUCGGGAAACCGGAGCUAAUACCGGAUAAUAUAUUGAACCGCAUGGUUCAAUAGUGAAAGACGGUUUUGCUGUCACUUAUAGAUGGAUCCGCGCCGCAUUAGCUAGUUUGUAAGGUAACGGCUUACCAAGGCAACGAUGCGUAGCCGACCUGAGAGGGUGAUCGGCCACACUGGAACUGAGACACGGUCCAGACUCCUACGGGAGGCAGCAGCG
This 263-nucleotide ribosomal RNA is filed under the name uncultured Staphylococcus sp. RNAcentral's name for it is "partial 16S ribosomal RNA". It matches the Rfam family "Bacterial small subunit ribosomal RNA", at positions 99 to 356 of the family's 1533-position model. Lineage: Bacteria; Bacillati; Bacillota; Bacilli; Caryophanales; Staphylococcaceae. The record is from RNAcentral.